CCUACGGGUGGCAGCAGUGGGGAAUAUUGGGCAAUGGAGGAAACUCUGACCCAGCAACGCCGCGUGAAUGAUGAAGGUCUUCGGAUUGUAAAGUUCUUUUCUAAGGGAAGAAGAAAGUGACGGUACCUUAGGAAUAAGCCUCGGCUAACUACGUGCCAGCAGCCGCGGUAAUACGUAGGAGGCGAGCGUUAUCCGGAAUGACUGGGCGUAAAGGGUGCGUAGGCGGACAGUCAAGUCAGCGGUAAAAAUGCGGUGCUCAACGCCGUACAGCCGUUGAAACUGGCAGUCUUGAGUGGGCGAGAAGUAUGCGGAAUGCGUGGUGUAGCGGUGAAAUGCAUAGAUAUCACGCAGAACUCCGAUUGCGAAGGCAGCAUACCGGCGCCCGACUGACGCUGAGGCACGAAAGCGUGGGUAUCGAACAGGAUUAGAUACCCGGGUAGUC
RNAcentral lists this ribosomal RNA (442 nucleotides) under uncultured bacterium. RNAcentral describes it as "partial 16S ribosomal RNA". It matches the Rfam family "Bacterial small subunit ribosomal RNA", at positions 338 to 795 of the family's 1533-position model. The record is from RNAcentral.